RNAcentral lists this long non-coding RNA (404 nucleotides) under Rattus norvegicus (Norway rat). RNAcentral describes it as "long non-coding RNA NONRATT024510". The record is from RNAcentral. Lineage: Eukaryota; Metazoa; Chordata; Mammalia; Rodentia; Muridae.
UGAUCAGCUGAUUCCAACUGACAACAAGAGAGGAGGAAGCCUGGGAGGCAGCAGAGGAGGAGGGGGCGGAGAUGGAACUGAGGAUGGAUCCACCGGGGCCCUAGAGCAGCCCAGGUAGCCCUUGAAACACUGGCCCGAGGUCCAAGUAGAUCGAACAGCUCCUCACCGCCUUCUUCCAUCACUAUGACUUGUAGCUGAGGCCCAAACCAAUGAGCCGACCUUUGUGAACCCAGCAGACCGCUCAGCGUGCACGUGCCGCAGAGGCUCUGUCACUUCCACCACAUCUUUCUUUGCACUUUGCAGAGGAUGAGACCAUCAUCAAACUCAGUCGACGCUGCUGCUGGUACAAGAGACUUGGAGGCAGACAAUUAAAAACUUGAACAUUUGUGAGUGUGUAAAAAUCC